GCCGGGCGCGGUGGCACGUGCCUAUAGUCCCAGCUACUCAGGAGGCUGAGGUGGGAGGAUCACUCGAGCCCAGGAGUUCUGGGCUGUAGUGCGCUAUGCCGAUCGGGUAUCCGCACUAAGUUCAGCAUCAAUAUGGUGAUCUCCUGGGAACGGGGGACCACCAGGUUGCCUAAGGAGGGGUGAACGGGCCCAGGUCGGAAACGGAGCAGGUCAAAAUUCCCAUGCCGAUAAGUAGCGGGAUCACGCCUGUGAAUAGCCACUGCACUCCAGCCUGGGCAACAUAGCGAGACCCCAUCUCU
RNAcentral lists this signal recognition particle RNA (299 nucleotides) under Cebus imitator (Panamanian white-faced capuchin). Its description in RNAcentral is "Metazoan signal recognition particle RNA (ENSCCAG00000003470.1)". It matches the Rfam family "Metazoan signal recognition particle RNA". From Rfam's summary of the family: The signal recognition particle (SRP) is a universally conserved ribonucleoprotein. Lineage: Eukaryota; Metazoa; Chordata; Mammalia; Primates; Cebidae. The record is from RNAcentral.